AGAGUUUGAUCCUGGCUCAGGAUGAACGCUGGCGGCGUGCUUAACACAUGCAAGUCGAACGAACCUUCGGGUUAGUGGCGGACGGGUGAGUAACGCGUGAGAAUCUGCCCUCAGGAGGGGGAUAACGGCUGGAAACGGCCGCUAAUACCCCAUAUGCCGAGAGGUGAAAUGAAUUUCGCCUGAGGAUGAGCUCGCGUCUGAUUAGCUAGUUGGUGGGGUAAGAGCCUACCAAGGCUUCGAUCAGUAGCUGGUCUGAGAGGAUGAUCAGCCACACUGGGACUGAGACACGGCCCAGACUCCUACGGGAGGCAGCAGUGGGGAAUUUUCCGCAAUGGGCGAAAGCCUGACGGAGCAACGCCGCGUGAGGGAUGAAGGCCUCUGGGCUGUAAACCUCUUUUCUCAAGGAAGAAGAUCUGACGGUACUUGAGGAAUAAGCCACGGCUAAUUCCGUGCCAGCAGCCGCGGUAAUACGGGAGUGGCAAGCGUUAUCCGGAAUUAUUGGGCGUAAAGCGUCCGCAGGCGGCCUUGAAAGUCUGCUGUUAAAGCGUGGAGCUUAACUCCAUUUCAGCAGUGGAAACUACAAGGCUAGAGUGUGGUAGGGGCAGAGGGAAUUCCCGGUGUAGCGGUGAAAUGCGUAGAUAUCGGGAAGAACACCAGUGGCGAAGGCGCUCUGCUGGGCCAUAACUGACGCUCAUGGACGAAAGCCAGGGGAGCGAAAGGGAUUAGAUACCCCUGUAGUCCUGGCCGUAAACGAUGAACACUAGGUGUCGGGGGAAUCGACCCCUCCGGUGUCGUAGCCAACGCGUUAAGUGUUCCGCCUGGGGAGUACGCACGCAAGCGUGAAACUCAAAGGAAUUGACGGGGGCCCGCACAAGCGGUGGAGUAUGUGGUUUAAUUCGAUGCAACGCGAAGAACCUUACCAGGGUUUGACAUCCUGCGAAUCCCUUGGAAACGAGGGAGUGCCUUCGGGAGCGCAGUGACAGGUGGUGCAGGCUGUCGUCAGCUCGUGUCGUGAGAUGUUGGGUUAAGUCCCGCAACGAGCGCAACCCACGUCUUUAGUUGCCAGCAUUGAGUUGGGCACUCUAGAGAGACCGCCGGUGAUAAACCGGAGGAAGGUGUGGAUGACGUCAAGUCAUCAUGCCCCUUACAUCCUGGGCUACACACGUACUACAAUGCUACGGACAAAGGGCAGCAAACUCGCGAGAGCUAGCAAAUCCCAUAAACCGUGGCUCAGUUCAGAUCGUAGGCUGCAACUCGCCUACGUGAAGGAGGAAUCGCUAGUAAUCGCAGGUCAGCAUACUGCGGUGAAUACGUCCCCGGGCCUUGUACACACCGCCCGUCACACCAUGGGAGUUGGUCACGCCCGAAGUGGUUACCCUAACCGUAAGGAGG
RNAcentral lists this ribosomal RNA (1392 nucleotides) under metagenome. Its description in RNAcentral is "bacterial SSU rRNA". It matches the Rfam family "Bacterial small subunit ribosomal RNA". The record is from RNAcentral.